UGAGCAAUCUGCCCUUCUCAUCGGAAUAAGCGUUGGAAACGACGUCUAAUGCCGAAUACGACCUCCUUUCGCAUGAUCGGAGGUGGAAAGCUCCGGCGGAGAAGGAUGAGCUCGCGGCCUAUCAGCUAGUUGGUGUAGGUAAUGGCCCACCAAGGCGACGACGGGUAGCCGGCCUGAGAGGGUGACCCGGCCACACUGGGACUGAGACACGGCCCAGACCUCCGUACGGGAGCA
This 234-nucleotide ribosomal RNA is filed under the name uncultured bacterium. Its description in RNAcentral is "partial 16S ribosomal RNA". It matches the Rfam family "Bacterial small subunit ribosomal RNA", at positions 118 to 347 of the family's 1533-position model. The record is from RNAcentral.